RNAcentral lists this ribosomal RNA (777 nucleotides) under uncultured Neocallimastigales. RNAcentral's name for it is "partial large subunit ribosomal RNA". It matches the Rfam family "Eukaryotic large subunit ribosomal RNA", at positions 18 to 635 of the family's 3401-position model. Lineage: Eukaryota; Fungi; Neocallimastigomycota; Neocallimastigomycetes; Neocallimastigales. The record is from RNAcentral.
UCAGACGAUGCGUCAUGCAUAUCAAUAAGCGGAGGAAAAGAAACUAACUAGGAUUCCCUCAGUAACGGCGAGUGAAGCGGGAAGAGCUCAAAUUUGAAAUCUUCAAGGUUUUACCUUGACGAAUUGUAGUUUAAAGAAGUGUUUUCUGUUAGAGGAGUUAGGUAAAAGUUCUUUGGAAUAGGACAUCAUAGAGGGUGAGAAUCCCGUAUUUGACCAUAUUCUUCUAGCUUUGUGAUACACUUUCAAAGAGUCGGAUUAGUUUGGGAAUGCAGUCCAAAAUGGGUGGUAAAUUUCAUCUAAAGCUAAAUAUUGGCGAGAGACCGAUAGCGAACAAGUACCGUGAGGGAAGAUGAAAAGAACUUUGAAAAGAGAGUUAAACAGUACGUGAAAUUGUCAAAAGGGAAGCGUUUGACACCAGUGUUGUUUUCUCGAAAAUCAAUUAAAAAGAGUUGGAUUUUGUGUUGUAUUGACCUUAACAGCUUGCUUCACUCUUUUCCUGCUUUUUUUAAUGCACUUUUCGUUUAACAAGUCAACAUCAGUUUCUUUUGUUGUAAAAGGGUCAUUGGAAGGUGGCUUUCUCUUCGGAGAAAGUGUUUAUAGCCUUUGAUCUCUGCAAUCGGAGAGACUGAGGUCUGCAGCGUAGAUCCUUCGGGGUUAGAUACAUUUGUGCUAAGCUACAGCUUUUCAUAGACAACUUGUUGACUAUGUUUAGUCUUGUAACUUACCCGCUUAUGCUAUUUUACCUACGCUUAGGAUGUUGAUAUGCAUGACUGAUAU